Molecule: non-coding RNA, 72 nt
Organism: Pseudovirgaria hyperparasitica
Lineage: Eukaryota; Fungi; Ascomycota; Dothideomycetes; Acrospermales; Acrospermaceae
Source: the annotation of a RefSeq genome assembly
GGCACCGUGGCGCAAUGGCAGCGCGCAGCCCUCCUAAGGCUGAGGCUGUGGGUUCGAGUCCCACCGGUGUCG